CCUACGGGUGGCUGCAGUGGGGAAUAUUGCACAAUGGGCGCAAGCCUGAUGCAGCCAUGCCGCGUGUGUGAAGAAGGCCUUCGGGUUGUAAAGCACUUUCAGCGGGGAGGAAGGCGGUGAGGUUAAUAACCUCAUCGAUUGACGUUACCCGCAGAAGAAGCACCGGCUAACUCCGUGCCAGCAGCCGCGGUAAUACGGAGGGUGCAAGCGUUAAUCGGAAUUACUGGGCGUAAAGCGCACGCAGGCGGUCUGUCAAGUCGGAUGUGAAAUCCCCGGGCUCAACCUGGGAACUGCAUUCGAAACUGGCAGGCUAGAGUCUUGUAGAGGGGGGUAGAAUUCCAGGUGUAGCGGUGAAAUGCGCAGAGAUCUGGAGGAAUACCGGUGGCGAAGGCGGCCCCCUGGACAAAGACUGACGCUCAGGUGCGAAAGCGUGGGGAGCAAACAGGAUUAGAUACCCCAGUAGUC
Molecule: ribosomal RNA, 465 nt
Filed under: uncultured Klebsiella sp.
Lineage: Bacteria; Pseudomonadati; Pseudomonadota; Gammaproteobacteria; Enterobacterales; Enterobacteriaceae
Description: bacterial SSU rRNA
Rfam family: Bacterial small subunit ribosomal RNA
Source: RNAcentral